RNAcentral lists this unclassified non-coding RNA (285 nucleotides) under plant metagenome. RNAcentral describes it as "partial contains small subunit ribosomal RNA, internal transcribed spacer 1, and 5.8S ribosomal RNA". The stretch from base 1 to 54 matches the Rfam family "Eukaryotic small subunit ribosomal RNA", at positions 1778 to 1831 of the family's 1831-position model. The record is from RNAcentral.
GGAAGUAAAAGUCAUAACAAGGUUUCCGUAGGUGAACCUGCGGAAGGAUCAUUAUUGUAUAACCGAGGUGCGAGGGCUGUCGCUGACCCGAAAGGUCGUGCACGCCCGAGUGCCCUCACACACAUCCAUCUCACCCCUAUGUGCACCACCGCGUGGGUCCCCCCUUGGCUUGUUCGGAGGGGGGCUUACGUUUUCACACAAACUUUGUAUGCAGUGUAGAAUGUAUUUUUUGUUUUUGCGAUCACGCAAUCAAUACAACUUUCAACAAUGGAUCUCUUGGCUCUC